This 488-nucleotide ribosomal RNA is filed under the name Cryptophyllium celebicum. Its description in RNAcentral is "partial large subunit ribosomal RNA". The stretch from base 352 to 488 matches the Rfam family "Bacterial large subunit ribosomal RNA", at positions 2473 to 2610 of the family's 2925-position model. The record is from RNAcentral. Lineage: Eukaryota; Metazoa; Arthropoda; Insecta; Phasmatodea; Phylliidae.
AUGAUUUAUUAUUUAAUGGCCGCGGUAUUUUGACCGUGCGAAGGUAGCAUAAUCAUUAGUCCAUUUAUUGUGGGAUAGUAUGAAUGGUUUGACGAAAUAUUACCUGUCUCAUUUUAAUAGCUUAAAAUUUAAUUUUUUAGUUAAAAAGCUUAAUUUUUUUUAAAGGACGAGAAGACCCUAUAGAUCUUUAUUUUUAUUAUUUUUUUAUUUUUUAGGUUAUUUUAUUAUAUUUAUAUUUAUUAUUUUGUUGGGGUGAUAUUAGGAUAUAUUUAACUCCUUUUAUUUUUUAUCAUUUGUUUUUGUUUUUUUUUUGAUCUUUUAUUAUUGCUUAUAAGAAUAAGAUACCUUAGGGAUAACAGCGUAAUUCUUUUUAAGAGUUCAUAUUUACAAUGGAGUUUGCGACCUCGAUGUUGAAUUAAGAUUAUUUUUGGGUGAAGUAGCUUGAUUAUUAAGUCUGUUCGACUUUUAAUAUCUUACAUGAUCUGAGU